RNAcentral lists this ribosomal RNA (176 nucleotides) under uncultured Wickerhamomyces. RNAcentral's name for it is "partial 26S ribosomal RNA". It matches the Rfam family "Eukaryotic large subunit ribosomal RNA", at positions 90 to 264 of the family's 3401-position model. The record is from RNAcentral. Lineage: Eukaryota; Fungi; Ascomycota; Saccharomycetes; Phaffomycetales; Phaffomycetaceae.
CGAGUGAGCGGCAAAAGCUCAAAUUUGAAAUCUAGCACCUUCGGUGUUCGAGUUGUAAUUUGAAGAUGGUAACCUUGGGUUUGGCUCUUGUCUAUGUUCCUUGGAACAGGACGUCAUAGAGGGUGAGAAUCCCGUCUGAUGAGAUGCCCAUUCCUAUGUAAGGUGCUAUCGAAGAG